Molecule: ribosomal RNA, 1150 nt
Filed under: Collimonas sp. 4cultural_45
Lineage: Bacteria; Pseudomonadati; Pseudomonadota; Betaproteobacteria; Burkholderiales; Oxalobacteraceae
Description: bacterial SSU rRNA
Rfam family: Bacterial small subunit ribosomal RNA
Source: RNAcentral
GUUAACCCGUUCGAUUUUCGGGUGAAAGGGGGGACCGUAAGGCCUCAAGUUAUAGAGCGGCCGAUUCUGAUUGCUAGUGGUGAGUAAAGGUUACCAAGGUUCGAUCAGUAGUUGUCUGAGAGGACGACCAGCCACACUGGGAUUGAGACACGGCCCAGAUUCCUACGGGAGGCAGCAGUGGGGAAUUUUGGACAAUGGGGGCAACCCUGAUCCAGCAAUGCCGCGUGAGUGAAGAAGGCCUUCGGGUUGUAAAGCUCUUUUGUCAGGGAAGAAACGGUCUGAUCUAAUACAUUGGGCUAAUGACGGUACCUGAAGAAUAAGCACCGGCUAACUACGUGCCAGCAGCCGCGGUAAUACGUAGGGUGCAAGCGUUAAUCGGAAUUACUGGGCGUAAAGCGUGCGCAGGCGGUUAUGUAAGACAGGUGUGAAAUCCCCGGGCUUAACCUGGGAAUGGCAUUUGUGACUGCAUAGCUAGAGUGUGUCAGAGGGGGGUAGAAUUCCACGUGUAGCAGUGAAAUGCGUAGAGAUGUGGAGGAAUACCGAUGGCGAAGGCAGCCCCCUGGGAUAACACUGACGCUCAUGCACGAAAGCGUGGGGAGCAAACAGGAUUAGAUACCCUGGUAGUCCACGCCCUAAACGAUGUCUACUAGUUGUCGGGUCUUAAUUGACUUGGUAACGCAGCUAACGCGUGAAGUAGACCGCCUGGGGAGUACGGUCGCAAGAUUAAAACUCAAAGGAAUUGACGGGGACCCGCACAAGCGGUGGAUGAUGUGGAUUAAUUCGAUGCAACGCGAAAAACCUUACCUACCCUUGACAUGUACAGAAUCCCGAAGAGAUUUGGGAGUGUUCGAAAGAAAACUGUAACACAGGUGCUGCAUGGCUGUCGUCAGCUCGUGUCGUGAGAUGUUGGGUUAAGUCCCGCAACGAGCGCAACCCUUGUCAUUAGUUGCUACGAAAGGGCACUCUAAUGAGACUGCCGGUGACAAACCGGAGGAAGGUGGGGAUGACGUCAAGUCCUCAUGGCCCUUAUGGGUAGGGCUUCACACGUCAUACAAUGGUACAUACAGAGGGCCGCCAACCCGCGAGGGGGAGCUAAUCCCAGAAAGUGUAUCGUAGUCCGGAUUGUAGUCUGCAACUCGACUACAUGAAG